Molecule: unclassified non-coding RNA, 492 nt
Filed under: Hevea brasiliensis (rubber tree)
Lineage: Eukaryota; Viridiplantae; Streptophyta; Magnoliopsida; Malpighiales; Euphorbiaceae
Source: RNAcentral
CCCUUUAAUGUAGGGAUUGAGAUUUCAACACUUCUCUUCAAGUUGGUUCAUAUAUAUUACACAUGCCUAACUAGCAAACUAGAGAAUGAAACAUUUUGCUGCUAAGUCCCUUGGUGAACACAUCAGCAAACUGAUCUUUAGAAGUCACAUGAGAGACACUCAAUGAUCCAUCUAUAAUUUUUUCCUUUAUGAAGUGUUGAUCAAUUUCCAUAUGUUUGGUUCGAUUAAGCUGUACUGGAUUGUGGACAAUAUUGAUAACGACUUUGUUAUUACAAAACAAGUAUAAACUAUUUGUUUCUAAGAGUUUCAUAUCUUCCAUUAACUUUCGUAACCACACAAUUCAUAGACACCUUGAGCCAUAUGGCUCUAUAUUCAGCAUCUGCACUGAAUCUAGCAGUCACACUUUGUUUCUUACUUCUCCAAGUGACCAAGUUACUACCAAUAAAGAUACAAUAACCCGUUGUUGCCGUUCUAUCAUUAAGAGAUCAAGUC